Long non-coding RNA from Quercus robur (English oak), 740 nucleotides. RefSeq lists it as uncharacterized. Lineage: Eukaryota; Viridiplantae; Streptophyta; Magnoliopsida; Fagales; Fagaceae. The record is from RefSeq and is a predicted model, not a curated record. The transcript is spliced from 2 exons.
AGGAUUGAAUAGGCUGAUAAUAGAUGAAGGUGCCCUGCCUCUUCUCGAAAAGCCUCAAAAAUCUGGAAUUUACAGAAAUGCCAACCGAAUUUGUUCUUAGUCUGCAACCAGAUGAAGGCCCUGAUUUUGGGAAAGUGAAGCAUAUUCCCUCUGUCACUUUCUGGUAUAGGACUCGUGGAGAACACUACACUAGGUACAAUUCAGCAUUGUUAAAGCGUCUGCGAAGUUGAUUCAUGGAGGACUGAAGUGCCCACACCACUUUCAGGAAAUUACAGAGAGCUACUGAGCUUGGAGUGAGUCACUGAUGGGUCCCGAUUUGGCAGCCAAUGCAGAGAAGUUGGAACCAAUGGAACCUCCUCAGGGCAAGCUAGAAUUCCGUUGGUGUAAACACGGGAAGGAUUCCGGAUGUGUUGUUGGCGUGCAAAGACAGUUCUUCCACCUUGCACUUUGUUUGACUGAGCUUCCUUGUGAAGUUGGUGACACAAGUAAAUGAGAGAGCUUCAAAUCUUCCAAACUAAAUUCUGCUAUCUUUAUCAUCCGAUCCAUCUGCUUUAUGUUGAUCUUUGGAGGCUUUUGCUCCACAUUUUCAUCCAUAUUAUGUAUAUUGUAACCUUGAGAAAAAUAUAAGACAUUACAAAUCAAACAAACAAUCACAAAAGCUGUUGAAUAUGAAUUUCUAUAUUAUAUUUAUAUGGCAUGUCACAAGAUGCAAUUUUCAAUAGUAUCACCUUUUUUUUUAA